Molecule: ribosomal RNA, 783 nt
Filed under: Lacticaseibacillus paracasei
Lineage: Bacteria; Bacillati; Bacillota; Bacilli; Lactobacillales; Lactobacillaceae
Description: bacterial SSU rRNA
Rfam family: Bacterial small subunit ribosomal RNA
Source: RNAcentral
GGAUGAACGCUGGCGGCGUGCCUAAUACAUGCAAGUCGAACGAGUUCUCGUUGAUGAUCGGUGCUUGCACCGAGAUUCAACAUGGAACGAGUGGCGGACGGGUGAGUAACACGUGGGUAACCUGCCCUUAAGUGGGGGAUAACAUUUGGAAACAGAUGCUAAUACCGCAUAGAUCCAAGAACCGCAUGGUUCUUGGCUGAAAGAUGGCGUAAGCUAUCGCUUUUGGAUGGACCCGCGGCGUAUUAGCUAGUUGGUGAGGUAAUGGCUCACCAAGGCGAUGAUACGUAGCCGAACUGAGAGGUUGAUCGGCCACAUUGGGACUGAGACACGGCCCAAACUCCUACGGGAGGCAGCAGUAGGGAAUCUUCCACAAUGGACGCAAGUCUGAUGGAGCAACGCCGCGUGAGUGAAGAAGGCUUUCGGGUCGUAAAACUCUGUUGUUGGAGAAGAAUGGUCGGCAGAGUAACUGUUGUCGGCGUGACGGUAUCCAACCAGAAAGCCACGGCUAACUACGUGCCAGCAGCCGCGGUAAUACGUAGGUGGCAAGCGUUAUCCGGAUUUAUUGGGCGUAAAGCGAGCGCAGGCGGUUUUUUAAGUCUGAUGUGAAAGCCCUCGGCUUAACCGAGGAAGCGCAUCGGAAACUGGGAAACUUGAGUGCAGAAGAGGACAGUGGAACUCCAUGUGUAGCGGUGAAAUGCGUAGAUAUAUGGAAGAACACCAGUGGCGAAGGCGGCUGUCUGGUCUGUAACUGACGCUGAGGCUCGAAAGCAUGGGUAGCGAACA